Molecule: ribosomal RNA, 1378 nt
Filed under: metagenome
Description: bacterial LSU rRNA
Rfam family: Bacterial large subunit ribosomal RNA
Source: RNAcentral
UAAAACUGAAACAUGAUGACGCCGAUUCCUACGGGGAUCUAAGUCUUGUGAAUCCAUGCUUCCAAGAAAAACUUCUAAAGAUAUUGUAUAGGAACCUGUACCGCAAACCACCACAGGUGGUCAAGGAGAGAAUCCUAAGGUGAGCGAGAGAACUAUGGUUAAGGAACUCGGCAAAAUGACCCCGUAACUUCGGGAUAAGGGGAGGUCACUUCGGUGACCCGCAGAGAAUUGUCCCAGGCAACUGUUUACCAAAAACACAGGUCUCUGCUAAAGCGUAAGCUGAUGUAUAGGGGCUGACGCCUGCCCAGUGCUGGAAGGUUAAGAUGAUUUGUUAGUCGGACGAAAGUCGAUAACGGCGAAGCAUUGACUUGAAGCCCCAGUGAACGGCGGCCGUAACGAUAACGGUCCUAAGGUAGCGAAAUUCCUUGUCAGGUAAGUUCUGACCCGCACGAAAGGCGUAAUGAUCUGGGAGCUGUCUCAACCAUAGACUCGGUGAAAUCUUAAUACCUGUGAAAAUGCAGGUUACCCGCAGCAGGACGGAAAGACCCCAUGGAGCUUUACUGUAGGUUGAUAUUGGAAUCAGAUGUUAGUUGUAGAGGAUAGGUGGUAGACUAUGAUGUAUAGACGCUAGUUUAUACGGAGUCGCCCUUGGAAUACCACCCUUCUGAUAUUUGAUUUCUAACUCGCACCCAUUAUCUGGGUGGAGGACAGUGUCUGCUGGGCAGUUUGACUGGGGCGGUCGCCUCCUAAAAAGUAACGGAGGCGCCCAAAGGUUCCCUCAGAAUGGUUGGAAAUCAUUCAAAGAGUGUAAUGGUAUAAGGGAGCUUGACUGUGAGACUUACAAGUCGAGCAGGUACGAAAGUAGGGCAUAGUGAUCAGGCGGUAGAGUAUGGAAUUGCCGUCGCUUAACGGAUAAAAGUUACCCUGGGGAUAACAGGCUGAUACCACCCAAUAGUUCACAUAGACGGUGGUGAUUGGCACCUCGAUGUCGGCUCGUCACAUCCUGGAGGUGGAUUCGCUUCCAAGGGUUAGGCUGUUCGCCUAUUAAAGUGGCACGCGAGCUGGGUUCAGAACGUCGUGAGACAGUUCGGUCCCUAUCCGCUGUGGGCGUAGGAAAAUUGAGGAGAGCUGUUCCUAGUACGAGAGGACCGGAAUGGACUGACCAAUGGUGUAUCCGUUGUAACGCCAGUUGCAGUGCAGAGUAGCUAUGUCGGGAAGGGAUAACCGCUGGAAGCAUCUAAGCGGGAAGCCCACUUCAAGAUGAGUUUUCCCAUAUGUAUAUAGUAAGAACCGUUGUAGACUACAACGUUGAUAGGCUAAAGGUGGAAGCGUAGUGAUACGUUGAGCUGACUAGUACUAAUAGUUCGAGGAUUUAACC